UACUAGGAACAGUUCUUCCACGGGCCC
This 27-nucleotide non-coding RNA is filed under the name Mus musculus (house mouse). The record is from RNAcentral. Lineage: Eukaryota; Metazoa; Chordata; Mammalia; Rodentia; Muridae.